UGCUCAAAGAUCUGAUAGGGGCAAAGCAAAGCAAAGCGGAGCCGGAAAAAGAAGAAACCAGAGAAGAGGGGAAAGGGAAAUGGAGCUACUGGAAAUUACAGGAAUGGGGUCUUUGGGAUGAACCAUUCGAAAGCUUUUCAUCGUUUUAGUCAUAAAUUGAAAUUCUUCCCGAGGCCACCCAUUCCAGUGAUUUCCAGAGGCUUAUCCCUUUCCCUUACAUCUUCCUUGAUUUGUUUAUAUAUGGAAAUGGAAGAAAGCUAGCUGCUUCUGCUUGUAUUGUGAGGGAUCUCAGAUUGUAUGGGAAAUUUGAGCAGGAAAACUGCAGAAUCUAGUCAAUCUUGGAUUUUGGAGGAGAAUGUUCAAUUAAUGUUGUUCACUCAUUUCACUUA
This is a long non-coding RNA of Gossypium raimondii (Peruvian cotton), 389 nucleotides long. RefSeq lists it as uncharacterized. The record is from RefSeq and is a predicted model, not a curated record. The transcript has 2 exons. Lineage: Eukaryota; Viridiplantae; Streptophyta; Magnoliopsida; Malvales; Malvaceae.